RNAcentral lists this ribosomal RNA (466 nucleotides) under uncultured bacterium. RNAcentral's name for it is "partial 16S ribosomal RNA". It matches the Rfam family "Bacterial small subunit ribosomal RNA", at positions 28 to 507 of the family's 1533-position model. The record is from RNAcentral.
GACGAACGCUGGCGGCGCGCCUAACACAUGCAAGUCGAACGAGCGAGAGAGAGCUUGCUUUCUCGAGCGAGUGGCGAACGGGUGAGUAACGCGUGAGGAACCUGCCUCAAAGAGGGGGACAACAGUUGGAAACGACUGCUAAUACCGCAUAAGCCCACGGCUCGGCAUCGAGCAGGGGGAAAAGGAGCAAUACGCUUUGAGAUGGCCUCGCGUCCGAUUAGCUAGUUGGUGGGGUAACGGCCCACCAAGGCGACGAUCGGUAGCCGGACUGGGAGGUUGAACCGCCACAUUGGGACUGAGACACGGCCCAGACUCCUACGGGAGGCAGCAGUGGGGAAUAUUGCACAAUGGGGGAAACCAUGAUGCAGCGACGCCGCGUGGAGGAAGAAGGUCUUCGGAUUGUAAACUCCUGUUGUUGGGGAAGAUAAUGACGGUACCCAACAAGGAAGUGACGGCUAACUACGUG